GUUCAAAGGCGCUGCAGGGCGGGUCAAGGAAGGUGAGCGUCAUCUUGGGCGGCGCAGGGCGGUGAGGCAUACACGAACGUCACCCUUCCUUCUUGUCUUCCUCUUCCUUCCUCUUGUCUUCCUCUUCUUCACGGUUUGUUGUGUCUAAGCCAUUUUGCAGCGGUGGUUUGUUUGUUUGGAUUGUUUGUUUCAGCAGUAAUGAGGUCUUUGUUUGUUUCUUUUGUUUUGUUUUUAAUUUUAGUUUUCUUGUUGGUUAUUGAGUUCUGUCCAAGGCAUUGCAGUGGUGUGUUUUUUUCUUUCUCCUUCGUUUGUUUGUUUGUUUGUUGAUUUUGUGUCUAUUUUCAGUCUUUCAUAUUUCACAUUUUAAUGAUGGUUUGUAUUCGACUUCUCUUUAUUUUCCUUUUCUGCCCAGUUCUUUUUUUUUUUUAUCUUUUUUUUUAUCUCCAACUUCGCCCUUCGACUUUUAUUACGAUUUUCUAUUUCACUUAUUUUUAGGUAUAUGUUCUUGAUUCCACUUCUCUUUAUUUUCCUUUUCUUCCCAGUUCUUUAUUUAAUCUCUAGCAAUUCCACCUCUUCCACCUCUACUAAUGUCCUCCGUCCUCCAACUUUUACAAGGCUUUUCUAUUUCACUAAUUUUUAGGUUAUUCUUGAUUCCACUUUUCUUUACUUUUCUUUUCUUCCCAUUCUUUUUUUCUUAUCUUCAACAGUUCCACCUCCACCAAUGUCCUUCGUCCUUCAACACAACCACAACCAACG
Long non-coding RNA from Eriocheir sinensis (Chinese mitten crab), 756 nucleotides. RefSeq lists it as uncharacterized. The transcript is spliced from 2 exons. The record is from RefSeq and is a predicted model, not a curated record. Lineage: Eukaryota; Metazoa; Arthropoda; Malacostraca; Decapoda; Varunidae.